Long non-coding RNA from Hyalella azteca, 1508 nucleotides. RefSeq lists it as uncharacterized. The transcript is spliced from 2 exons. Lineage: Eukaryota; Metazoa; Arthropoda; Malacostraca; Amphipoda; Hyalellidae. The record is from RefSeq and is a predicted model, not a curated record.
UCAGUUUUUCCGGGCACUCGGUAACUCUGGUAGUUCUACGACCAUCACUGGCGCCCCCCGAUGUCGGAUGGUGGUGACGAAACCUGCAGUUUAUCCACCGCCAGAUCCGCUGCGGUCGCUGAAGGAGCUGCGCCGCCUGUCCAUCCGCGCUGCCCUCGGCCACUGCAGGAUUGAGGAGAAGACGGAAGGCUUGCGAGGCGUCUAGCCCGCCACUCUCAGGGAAUACCUUUACUUUCGCCACGACUUCUCCAUUUUCCCUGUGAGGAGAAGACGAAAGGCUUGCGAGGCGUCUUGCCCGCCACUCUCAGGGAAUACCUUUACUUUCCCCACGACUUCUUUAUUUUCCCUGUGAGGAGAAGACGGAAGGCUUGCGAGGCGUCUUUCCCGCCACUCUCAGGGAAUACCUUUACUUUCGCCACGACUUCUCCAUUUUCCCUGUGAGGAGAAGACGGAAGGCUUGCGAGGCGUCUUUCCCGCCACUCUCAGGAAUACCUUUACUUUCCCCACGACUUCUUUAUUUUCCUUGCGCCCGCCAAUUGAAAGGAAAGUUUGACGCAUCCUCAGACUCUAGCAAUUUGUUACGCUUCACCUCAGCAUGAGUUUCCUGCUGGUAAUUAAUAAUUUCUCUAAUUUUUAGGCGCUGUAAUCUUACCAAGGAUCACGAGUCUCUGAAUUAUUCGGUUGAUGUUUUUUCCGGAAUAAUUAUUCCAGUAAUUUGCACGAAAUGUUUUAUUCUUGGAUUUCAGGGUAAAUUUCUUGUAUUUAAUGAGAAACUCUUUAACCGUUUGUCUUGACCAAAGAUGAACCACGUCAGUCCUGCUUCUAUUUAAAACAGGUGACAGGAGCUGCUGUUGACCUGUCACUGUUGCCUUGCUGUCUAGUCGUGGAUCCGAAAUGAAAUCUACAGCACUUGUCUAGAGCUUUGUCGAUAGUUUUUAGAUGUCAUUAUUGAAGUACUAGCCUUCAGUAUUUCAGUUGUUAAACAAUUGAGUUUUUUAAUAUUUACUAAAAAAGUUUAAUUCUGAUUAUCUUCAAUUUAUGUUCGUACGCAUUCUCUCUCUGAUCUAAUCAAGUCCAGGUUCUAAGACCAACAUUUUAACACUACGUUUGCCGGGGUCCACACUGGGUGGACAUAAAGCCACAGGUCUGCCUGAUGGAUAACCUGUUAGGUGCCUUGUUGGUUAGGUUUUUAGCUUCUUGGUACAGGAAGCUAGUCAGUGCUUCCUUGAGAGAGAUCAGUUCUCUAGUAGGAGAUAUUCCUUGUUCACUGAAUUUGGAGAUUUGCCGCGAGUCCGGCCGUAAAUUUGUCCGAGACGUGAAUCAAGUCGCGUACGACAAAAACUAAUAUGAUGAACUAAAUUUUCUAUAUAAUUUUAUUAUUGCUAAAAUUACAAAUAGUGCAAAACUUUUAGUAAUAUAAUAUAAAUUCUCAACGCAUAAAUGACUGUAACAAUGUGUCUACUUAACAAGUAAUAAAUAAGAUAGAAAUAAAUUGAUCCCGUAACUGU